AAGGCUUUAUCUUAAUUAAAGUAUCUGUUUUGCAUGCAGAAGAUGUGGGGUAAAAUCCGCAAGUCUUA
RNAcentral lists this transfer RNA (68 nucleotides) under Samariscus latus (deep-body righteye flounder). RNAcentral's name for it is "tRNA-Ala". It matches the Rfam family "tRNA". Rfam says of the family: Transfer RNA (tRNA) molecules are approximately 80 nucleotides in length. Their secondary structure includes four short double-helical elements and three loops (D, anti-codon, and T loops). RNAcentral also lists the same sequence under 1 other name. The record is from RNAcentral. Lineage: Eukaryota; Metazoa; Chordata; Actinopteri; Pleuronectiformes; Samaridae.